Seriola aureovittata is the source of this 1681-nucleotide long non-coding RNA. RefSeq lists it as uncharacterized. The transcript has 2 exons. The record is from RefSeq and is a predicted model, not a curated record. NCBI's taxonomy places the organism in Eukaryota, Metazoa, Chordata, Actinopteri, Carangiformes, Carangidae.
AAAGGGAGUUAUGACUGCUCUCAUACAAACACAGAGAUCAGAUACAGAACAGCAGCAGACUUACACAGGAUAAUGUGGAUGUCACGAAGAGUCACAAGUUGCUGUGUAGCUCUGUUCCUUAUCCUGACCUCUGUGUCAGCUGUGAGAAAGCUCAAUUCAAUCAAUGAUUUGAAGGAAAUCAACUUUGGCAAAUCUUUGCCCACGCACAGUCUCCUGCUGCUCCACUGGUUUGCCAACAUUGUUGAAAUUGACAGAAACAACGUCAUACAUUUCACCUUUGAUCCAAACAGAGAUUAUGGCUCGCAUCAUUAUGGCAACUAUGAGAGGCUGCUGGACCGACUACCUCCUGAACACCAGUACUACACUGUUGGCAAUCUCAAUGAAAACACUGCUGAGGAACUUCCAGAUUAUGUCGUGGAUCCCCCCGCAGGAUAUGCAGGAACAAACAUGGACCGGAUCAUCUUCAGAGUUAGGGAUCAGAACACAGGAUGGCAGAGAAUAGACCGAGUGUACCUCACACAGCAUUAUGAUCCAGCUCAUACGUACGAGAUCAGUAUUCACCUUUUAAGAGAAAUCAGAGAGUUUUCUGUAGGACAAAACCAGCGGUCACUGACGUAUCUAAGAGAUCGCUUUGAAAGAAACGCUGAUGACUUCCAAUUACAGGACAUCAGUAACACAUGCGGUCAACUUGCUUGCCUUGGACUGCUGCUGUUUAUUGUGCUCCAGGAAAAGUACUCCUCUAACCAAUUCAACAACAGACCUCAGCAUGCGGCAAGAAGAAACACAGACACUGUUGUCAACUUUUCAGAAAACACACAAAACGCCCACGAUUUUGCUGAUACUUCAGACAACGGCACAUGCUGUCCUUGUGAUAGUUAUUUAUUGAUUUUUUUGUUAGUUGUUAUUGGGAUUGUCAUUUAUUUAUCAAUGAGAAGAUGACAAGAAAAUGUUCCUAAGAUAUUGUCUAAACCAAAUUGUGAUGGAAAUGCUUUUCAAUGAUGAUGACCAGGAAACCAGCAGGACUUAAGAUGAGUGAGAAUCAGGCUGUUAUGACAGCUCAGUACACCUGGUUGAAGGCAACAAGUUGCUCUAUUAUCCUGUCGUAUGCUUUGUUCUGAAUCCAUGUUUAAUUAAUUGUGUAUUAUAUUAGCUUAUUUUGUAAACACUGUUCAGUUAUUAUUGACAUGUAGGCUUAUUAUGACAUGCCUGUGAUGAAUGAUACAAAUACUGAAAAAUCACUGUCAUGAAGGGCUGAGAGCCUUAAGGGUUUUGGUUCAGCCCAAUCAGUCAAAUUUAUUCCAGGGUGUUUUUGCACCUAUAACUUGUUUGCUCUGGUCUGAGGUCAAUUGAUAACUUUGUAAACUUGAGCAUUUUCCCCUUGGUUAAGUUUCUUUUUACAGAGACAGAAAUCCAAGUGAACCAAAAUGCACCGCUACAAACCAUGUGAAAACAUUCACUUUUCUUGUUGGUCAGAUGUUGUCUGAGGCAGGAGCAAGAUAUUAAAUACAGGAAGAAGGUCCUGUGUUUUGACUAGUGCAUAUUUCUGAGAGAAACAUUGCUAUGCUUCAUUCUGCAGUAAACUGUUACCAGGGGUGGGAGUAACGAAUUACAUUUACUCAUGUUUACUCAUCAGAUCUUCAAGUGCUUAAAGUGUGUGUGUAAAUAAACCGGAUUAUGUGAA